GAGAGAGAGAGAGGCAGAGAAAGAUCAUCCACCCUCUGGUUCAUUCCCCAAAUGGAUGCCAUUGCUGGGACUGGGCUAGACCAAAACUAGGAGCCAGGAGCUUCAUCUGGGUCUCCCAUGUAGGAGCAGAAGCCCAGGCACUUGGGCCACCGUAUGCUGCUUUCCCGGGUGCAUUAGCAGGGAGCUGAAUCAUUCCUUUUCUGUGCCAGCUCAGGAGCUCCAGCUGAACCAGUGCCCAUAGGGGAUACUGCUGCUUCAGGGAGUGGUUUAAACACUGCACCAUUGUGCCAGCCCCUGUCUCUCUGUCUUUCAAAAUCGAUAGAUCAUUUUUUAAAGAAGAAGACAUAGUGUUGAUACCAGUGCCAAGAAUGCUAUGCACUGUGUGGCCACAUUCACGCUAACAAUAAUGCAUGUGUGUGUAAAUGCUAAGUGAAGGGUUGGAAGGAUGCCCCAGAACCUUCGUGGAGGCAGCCGGGUGAGGAGAGGUAGGGAGCAGGGGGUGAGGGCUACGGGGACAGCUCAGGUCCCACACUGCUUCUGUGGGCGAUGUUCCCUCUGUAAGAGACACCUCAUGCCUGAGCCCGGAGGUGGGUGACAGGCGCCCGCGCUGAGGUGGGGCUGCAGGGCUCAUAGGGGAGUGUGGGCAGGUUGCACCCCACCUCCCCUUCCACCAGGGGGCAGCAGGGGGCACAUGUCCCUAACAAGAAGGAAGACGCUAGGAGGCCACGUGUGUGCAAAUGCAUGAGUGAAGUUGAAGGAAAACUUCACCUGGGCAAGGAAGGUGCAGACGGCAGGGGGUCGGGGGUAAGGGAGGGGAGGGGAGGGCGAGGGGGUGGCCACUCACGAUACCCCGGCAGCUCAUCCGUCACCAUUCCAUUAUUACUGGUUAUGAUCUCUGUGUUAUAGGGGGAAAGUGAGGUGCAGCGACUUGCCCCUUACUCACGCAGUUCAUGAGCGGCCAAGUGUGACCCAGAGCCAGCAGGUGGGCCCUCUCCUCCCUCUGCACCUGUUUGCAGAACCGCAACAUCAGCACAGAGAUUCAUAACCACGGCCAGGCUGAGCCAACACCAGAGGACAUCAGCACAACCGUCUCGGAAGCUUCAUGGACUGGAAAAAGAGGGGUGUCACGUGGACAUGGCCAUCGUCGCAUCACCGCAGCAACUUCCUUGGGGCAGUUUCUGAAAGUUUGGGGGCCUGGCGCUAGCGUGGGCUCAGUUGUGGUGAGUGGCCUCCCGGUUGUGCCCAUCACAGCGGCUGGCAAAUGGCAAAGUCCACAGGAGAGGCCCCAGGACCCCAGGACCAUGCACUUGACCCCACCUCUUAAAGGUCCACCCCAUCUUUCAACACUGCCCCACUGAGGACCAAGCCUCUGAUACACGGACCCUCUAGGGGGUGGACACUCAAACCCAACCCAACCACAGCAACAUGGCCCCUGGUGCCAGCGCAGAGCUGAGAG
This 1456-nucleotide long non-coding RNA is filed under the name Oryctolagus cuniculus (rabbit). RNAcentral describes it as "lncRNA (ENSOCUG00000033757.1)". Lineage: Eukaryota; Metazoa; Chordata; Mammalia; Lagomorpha; Leporidae. The record is from RNAcentral.